This is a long non-coding RNA of Canis lupus familiaris (dog), 658 nucleotides long. RefSeq lists it as uncharacterized. The transcript has 3 exons. Lineage: Eukaryota; Metazoa; Chordata; Mammalia; Carnivora; Canidae. The record is from RefSeq and is a predicted model, not a curated record.
GACCUGACCGAUGACAUCAGAGCAUUCUGGAGACCUGGAUCCCACACAGUCUUUGCAGAUGCACAGAGCCCAUUUUCAAAAAAUAGGGUCUCUUCCCCAUGGAACCUCUCCCGUGAAUUCAACUCACAUCUUCUUAAGAGUGAUUGUGGAGAGGUACCGAUUGUCAGAGAGAGCUCUGUGGACCAGUGGCCAGGAGUCUCCAAAGUGUAGUUAGAGGUGACAAAAAGAUGUGGCAAUAGCUCCAAGAGGAAAUGGCUGUACUGUGCAUACAAGCAAAAUCAUGGUGACCUGUCCCACACAGGACACAAGAGCCACCAAAUCUCAAGGAGACAUGACAACCAAGCUGAUGGACAUCUAAGCUAUACCUGGAAGUGCCAUGCCCACAUUUAUCCCAGCCUUGUCAUCGUACCCAUGUAUCUGAAGUGAGAGUCCUGUUCAUCCUGCGUCAUCAACCCAACUCCCUUCAUCUGCAAAACUAUUUUUUUUCCCCAUUGCCUAAAAUUUGGCCAUAGGGACUCAGGACUUCGAAUACUCCAACCUCCUGAGAAGUGCUACCUUAACAAACUAUUAUCAGCCACUGUCCUUGGAAGGAAUAGGGGAAAAGAGGCUGAGAAGCAGACUUUUUUUUUUUUUUUUUUUUUUGUGGGAUAGGAGAUGU